Non-coding RNA from Equus caballus (horse), 2599 nucleotides. The record is from RefSeq and is a predicted model, not a curated record. Lineage: Eukaryota; Metazoa; Chordata; Mammalia; Perissodactyla; Equidae.
UCAGAGGGGCCUCAUCCUGGGGGACUCUGGCAACGGACGACCAUCUCCUCGGACUCCAUGCUGACAAAAUGACCGCCCAGGAGGCAGGGACUUCAGGUUCUGCUCCCAUCUCAACAGGAAAUACAGCGUGCGGGUUCCGUUUGAAUCCGGACUCGCCAUUACGAGCUCUGUGACCUUCGGGACAUUGUUGAACUCUCUCUGUGCCUCAGUUUUCUCAUCUUUAAGAUCACCAUCAAGCUGUUGUCACAAGGCAAUAGUAGUCCACAGGCAGAGCUCAACUAUGGCUGCAGGUAUUCCCCCCACACUGCAGGCCACCCAGACGUGGGCUGGUGCUAUCUCUGUUUGUAACUCCAGAGGGUGUCGCUCACAUCUACCCGAUACCUGACACGUCACUCUGGAUCUUCGUACGGCGUGCCAAAUCUCUACUUGGCCUCUAGACCUACCCAACAACCUACGGCCUCAAUCCUGGACUGCGCUCACAGUAAAUGACGGGAUCCUUAAUCAGAGCACGAGUCUCAGAACGAAAAGGCAAUCAUUUUGUAAAAAUGCUGCUGUGUGCCGUGCAGCUAGAUCUUUACAGUAUGAAUAAAUCGACUUGAGAUUUCCAGCCUCCUCCUCCACCCAAAAAAAGACUCUGGGGAAUGGGGUAAAUGAGCAAAGUUCUCCAUCACAACUGUGCCGUUGACACCAUGACACAACGGUAUGCUUCCCGGGGCGAGAGUAUCCAGCUCUGCCUGCAGAGAUCACAGAAGGCUUCCCAGAGGAGGUGACUUUGGGCUGAGGCCUCAAGGAUCAGUAGGAGGUUGCCAGUCUGACAAAGGAGAGUGAGUGGAAGGACUUCCACGCAGAUGGAGAGACAGAAGCCAAUGCACCAGACACCUUCCAUCAGCCCCUUAAAUGUUCUCUCUUUAUUCUGCUCGGCGUCCCCUGGCUGGAGAGUUUGGCCGAGGGCAUGCUGAAGAGGCGAGUGUGUUUCCUGUCUCAGCCAGGAUCAACUUCCUGCCUGAACGUUAAGGUAUCCACGCAUGGCCGAGGGAGAGACCAUCUGUCUCGUGUCUCUCCUUUUAAGGGCACUAAUUCCAUCAUAAGGGCUCCACCCUCGUGACCUAAUUACUUCUCUCAAGCCCGCCUCCUCAUGCCAUCACAUUGGGAAUUGGAGCUUCAACAUCUGAAUUGCGGGGGGAAGACAAAAAUUCAGGGCAUCGCAGUGAGUUAUAAACAAAGAGCCCCAUCCAGCCUGUUCACCAAAGCUCUUAACAAUGGCAGCCUCGAGCCAAAAAUGCCAUCCUGCCCCCCCCGGGGGUGGGGUGGAGGUGACAGGGACAUAGCUGUCUGUCUGAGUUCCAAUUGCAUGUCCAAAUAGGUCAUUUCUUGUGUCAGGCAUUUCCCCAGAAAGGGCUAGAAGAAAGGGCUUGUCCAACACAGGAAAGUCAGAAUGGAGUCAGUCACAAAGCCAGAGCCCAUGGUCUCAGAGAAGCUGCUCAGAAACACCAGCGCUCUCACCCCUCUGCCCUCACGUCCCCCUGACCUUGGUCUUGGGGUGUCUUUCCAGAUACAGCCAGGGAAAGAUGCAAAGACUAGGAGAACAGCACUCAACUUCCAUGCACAUCAGACCUCAGGGAGCUUGUUGACGGUAUAGACACUGAGGUGGUUAACAAGACCCCCUGGUGGCUCUGAGGCACAGCCGAGUGGGAGCCCCUGGACUAGGGAAAUCUUGAGAGGGUAUAAAAGAAAGGACGGCUCUAGGUGGGGGGUAUUUAUUAUUGUCAUUACUCUUAUUACACUAUUGAAGAAUUGGAUUUUACUGCAAGUGCUUAUGGCCGUCCAGUAAUUGAAUAGUAGUAAGUACCAACCAUGAUAAUGUCACAGGACUUGUACCUACCAUGGACCUGGUUCAUUAGAUGCGUUAAAACACGUCCUUAGGUAAACAGAGCGUGGUGUGUACACACGGUGAGACAACAGUCUGUCUUGACAGUGUUCAGCCUGCUGACACCUGCUACCACGUGGAGGAAACCUGAAGAUCUCAUGCAAAGUGAAAUAAGCCAGACACAAAAGGACAAAUCCUGUAGGACUCCCCUCAUCUGAGGGUCCCAGAGUACAAUUCACAGAGACAGGAGGUAGAAUGGCGGUGGCCAGGGGCUGGGGGAGGGGGAAUGGAGAGUUAGUCUUUAAGGCAAAUGGAGUUUCAGUCUGGGAAGACGAGAAAGUUCUGGAGAUGGAUGGUGGUCGUGGUUGCACGACAAUGUAAAUGUACUUGAUGCCACUGAAUUGUACUUUUAAAAUAGUUAAAAUGGAAUCUUUUAUGUUAUGUAGAUUUUAGCACAAUAAAAAAGAAAUCCAUGCUUGCACUCAAGCCAGGCUGGAGAUGGACUGUGGCCUUCAGAGUCAGGCAGGUCUGUGCAGGAAUCCCAGCUGUCUGAGCGAUCUUUGCCAAAUACCACUUGAUCUUGCUGAGCUUCCACUGUCUCUUCUGUGACACGAGGAAGAGGGGGCAAGAAGCAUCUUGAGGGGCUUAUGAUGGCAGUUAUUUCACAGACAUCAUCUCAAGUCACUGUCCCACAGCCCUGGGAGGUGGGUGGGUAUUAUUAGCCUCAUUUUG